AGGAACAAGAUACCGCCAGAUAUUUU
This 26-nucleotide non-coding RNA is filed under the name Cricetulus griseus (Chinese hamster). The record is from RNAcentral. Lineage: Eukaryota; Metazoa; Chordata; Mammalia; Rodentia; Cricetidae.